AUGGAUGGUGCUUUCUGCUGGUGUUGGAGGGAAGCAGAACAAAACGUGGGUUCUCCAUGCUCGCAAGGUAACCUAUGUACUGCUGUACUGACCUCUCACUCCAGGAUGGUUGGCAGCUGUGCCGCCCUGUGUUUGUGGGUGUCUGGCACAAAGGAACUUGAAGACUUGCUCCAGAAUUCAUCAGGAUCUCAAGCACCAAUUAAACAUAGCCAACCAAACUCAUCAGUGCACAUCCAAGUAACUGUCAAUAAACUGUUUUCUCUCUGAGAUGAGUACAUGCACACAUUUUCCUGGGAUCUCUCUACAAAGGCAUCACUUGUCCUGCAGUCCAUUCCUUAAUGCAGGUGAGCUCACACCUUCCAGGAAUCAGCCACAGCCCUGGUGGCAACAGCAAUACACACCCUGGACUAUAAAUACUUGUUAAAAUUUAAAUAAUGUUUCUUAUGACCCUUAAAUACAAAUAAAUAUGUCUGAGCCUAGUUUAGCUGGAAGAUG
This 495-nucleotide long non-coding RNA is filed under the name Zonotrichia albicollis (white-throated sparrow). RNAcentral describes it as "lncRNA (ENSZALG00000010442.1)". Lineage: Eukaryota; Metazoa; Chordata; Aves; Passeriformes; Passerellidae. The record is from RNAcentral.